Non-coding RNA from Paramuricea clavata, 263 nucleotides. The record is from the annotation of a GenBank genome assembly. NCBI's taxonomy places the organism in Eukaryota, Metazoa, Cnidaria, Anthozoa, Malacalcyonacea, Plexauridae.
CUGGUUCACAUAUACCUGCGGUAUGUCGGUGGGUUAUUUUCGUUAGCAGUUCAACCAAAUAAUUCACAAAAGAAUGUAUGCAGACCACAGGCAUAUGUGAACCAGGUUUAAUUUGCUCAUCAAAUAAAUUUAAUUUCCAAAGGUGUCAAGCACAUCAAACAAACAACUUUCUUUAACAUUAAAAAGUUUAAAAAUCCAAUGAAUUCUGCCUGGUUUGCUAUUGAAUUGGGUUAGAAGAUAACUUGAUAACUUUUUCUUUUUUU